AUGUUGGUGAAGCUGAUAGAUGGGCGAUGGAAGGUGACGCACUUUGUUCGUGACCAUAAUCAUCCGCUGGUGAACAAACCUUCGUUGUCCAAAUACUUGAGAUCCCACCAAGGCAUCUCACUUGAUGAAAAAGAGAUUUUGCGCAUCUUGUAUAACUGCAACUUGACUACAGGUGAUUACCAUCCAAGUGCCAUGACGGGCCGUGCUACUACAGGUGAUCAAACACAACCUCGUGAUGGUCCUGCCCCGUUGGAGGCUGCAUCCCCAGCACAAGCCUAUGAUGAUUUUGUGCCUAGGGAUCCUCCAAAGUCUACUACAAAGGGUAGGGAGAAGAGUCGAUGA
RNAcentral lists this ribosomal RNA (342 nucleotides) under Triticum aestivum (bread wheat). RNAcentral's name for it is "partial small subunit ribosomal RNA". Lineage: Eukaryota; Viridiplantae; Streptophyta; Magnoliopsida; Poales; Poaceae. The record is from RNAcentral.